Molecule: RNA transcript, 2121 nt
Organism: Cucumis melo (muskmelon)
Lineage: Eukaryota; Viridiplantae; Streptophyta; Magnoliopsida; Cucurbitales; Cucurbitaceae
Gene name: E3 ubiquitin-protein ligase RING1-like
Exons: 3
Source: RefSeq, a predicted model, not a curated record
ACUCUGCCACUAACCACUGCGCUAAAACCCAAUUUCCAAACUACAUCCUAUCUCUCAAAAUCUCUUAUCUUUACCCAAUUUUGAGGGACGAGAUCGAUUGAUACUCCUAAUUUCAUCGCUACCGUCACCUCAGGUGUGGUUAAAAACCAUGUCCUCCGCCACCAUUACCGCCACCGCCGCCGCCGAACGCCACACCUACUGGUGCCACGAGUGCGAUAUGAGCGUCACUUUGGUUUCCCCUUCUUCUUCUUCUUCAUCAUCAUCAUCUUCUUCUUCCUCUUCCUCUCUUCUUUGCCCUCACUGCCUCACUGACUUCCUCGAACACAUGGAUUUCACCAUACCCACUUCCUCUUCUUCCAUUUCCGACCACCCCAAUUCCUCUUCUUCCCCCACAGAUUCCGAUCCAUCAUCCUUCGUCGUUGUCGACCCACUUCCGAUCACUUCCGAUGACAAUUACCUCCUUAACAGCCCUCAAUUCCUCCGUCUUUUCCAGCACCUUGCAGAUUCGUCCGAGUCUGAUUUCGUCCCAUCUGUCCCUUUCAACCCAUUUACUCCGAUCAAGGCCUCUGUCAUGGCGAUUCCCACUAUUAAAGUCACCUCCGCCUUGCUCGAUGAAGACCCAGUUCUAAUUUGUGCUAUUUGUAAGGAUCAGUUCCUUCUUGAGGUUGAAGCCAAACAGCUCCCUUGUUCUCAUCUUUAUCAUCCAGAUUGCAUUCUUCCUUGGCUUUCUAAUCAUGAUUCUUGCCCGCUUUGCCGUUUUAAGCUUCCUUCCGAUGACCCUUCGGAUCGUGUGAGAUGUAGGACUAGUGCCUUGUUAAGGGCUAGAGAUCUGAUGCAUCAAGAAGAUAGUUAUGGGUUGAGGACUACUUUGGAACUCAUGGCUAGAAGGCAUAGUUCUAUUUCUAGUGAGGGAAUUCAUGUGGAUUCGUUUCAAUCACCCACUCAGUUUGGGGUUGCUAUGAUGAGGAGUGGGGAACAGACUGACAGUGUUGAAACUGUUUCGAGUGUGGCUACUGAUGAUGGGAUCGUAAUUGUCAAUAGCAAUGGUGAUGAAAAUGGGUUUGUGGGAAUGGAUGGACCUAUAACUGAGGAUGCUGGAACUGUAGUUCAGGAUAUUGGAGUUUCUCCUUCGAGUUUUGUUUCUGCAUAAAUUGAGGAUAUGGCACCACGCAGAAGAGAAAGGGUUAGACGAGGUUGGCCUAUUAGAGAAAAAGUUUAAGUUGCAGGACCCUCUAGUGCUGUAAGAUCCUCCACUGCCACAAGAUCCUCUUGUGCCAUAAAUGCAAGGGAAGGUUGCAGGAGGUCAAACUUAGGAUGCACCAGAGGCUUCAUAGUAGCAAGCCCCAUCCAACGCCGAAAGUGAUUUUGUUGCAUUGGCAGCACAAGUAGAGGCAAUUGUUACAACUAUGAUGGUGAGAAUGCACAGUAGAUGGUUGGAACAGCCGUGGCUGAUCAGGUAGCAUAGCAGAUUCAAGUCUGGGUUUAGGACCACCAAGAUUGAUCACUUGAAGCCAAGUACUUGCGGAACUUUAGGAAGUAUAAUCCUCACACAUUUGAUGGAUCAUCGAAGGACCCCAUAAAGGCAGAAUUUUGCUUGUCCUCAAUUGAGCUUAUUUUUCGUUUUUUAAAGUGCCCUUAUGAUAGAAGCUUUAGUGUUCAAUAUUUGUGCUUACAAAACAGUGAUGAGAUCUGGUGGCAGUUCGCAGAGAUAUGAAUUGAUACCAAAGCAGGACCUAUGACUUGAGAACGAUUUAAGGAAUGUUUUUAUGAGCAGUAUUUCUCCGCCAAUACAAGGUAAUAUAGUAGAAUAUAUGGUUGUUAGAUGAAUCUUAGAAAGCAGCUACGCCAAGUAGAUGAUUGAUUGGAAGUGUAAAUUGCUACAGAGAAAGACUCUGCUAUCUUCUUCUUCUUCUUCUCCUUCUUCCUCUUCGGUAACCAUGUCUCAACAUAAUAAGAGAUGAACCUUAUUUACAUUGUUAAUCUUAUCACCUAGCAAUGUUUCCCUUCUCUCUUUUGGUCAUGGUUUGAGUCAAUGAGGCUCUCUCUCUCUCUCUCUCUAUAUAUAUAUAAAGUUCUGCAGUUUCAAUCUAUUGAGAAAUAGAUUCAAGAAUUUUUAAUCCA